GAUGAACGCUAGCGACAGGCUUAAAACAUGCAAGUCGAGGGGCAGCGGGGAUUUAGCUUGCUAAAUCUGCCGGCGACCGGCGAACGGGUGAGUAACACGUGAGCAACCUGCCCUAGAGUGGGGGACAACAUUUGGAAACGAAUGCUAAUACCGCAUAAGACCACGGUGUCACAUGACACAGCGGCCAAAGGAUUUAUUCGCUUUAGGAUGGGCUCGCGUCUGAUUAGCUAGAUGGUGGGGUAACGGCUCACCAUGGCGACGAUCAGUAGCCGGACUGAGAGGUCGAUCGGCCACAUUGGGACUGAGAUACGGCCCAGACUCCUACGGGAGGCAGCAGUGGGGAAUAUUGGGCAAUGGGCGAAAGCCUGACCCAGCGACGCCGCGUGGAGGAAGAAGGUUUUCGGAUUGUAAACUCCUGUCUUCGGGGAAGAUAAUGACGGUACCCGAGGAGGAAGCCACGGCUAACUACGUGCCAGCAGCCGCAGUAAAAC
Molecule: ribosomal RNA, 491 nt
Filed under: uncultured bacterium
Lineage: Bacteria
Description: bacterial SSU rRNA
Rfam family: Bacterial small subunit ribosomal RNA
Source: RNAcentral